RNAcentral lists this long non-coding RNA (310 nucleotides) under Elaeis guineensis (African oil palm). RNAcentral's name for it is "long non-coding RNA (EGUI_LNC075663)". Lineage: Eukaryota; Viridiplantae; Streptophyta; Magnoliopsida; Arecales; Arecaceae. The record is from RNAcentral.
UUACCGAUCAAAUGAUUGGUUUUAAGGAUGUGAGCUAGAGGAUUUGAGGCUGACAUGAUGGUUUAACUGCUCAAGUAGAGAUUUCAAUUAGAUUUUUGUACUUAAUAUUUUAAUUUACUUCUGGAGACUUUAAGAUGCAAAUAAUGACUCAUACUAAUUUUUCGGAUUCCUCCACUCUCUGAAAAGGAAACGAAAAUCCUGACGUGACAAAAAAUUUUUAGUGGGUGCUGCGAUCCCACCGAUGAUAUGCACCUCACCUAACAGUUAUUGGUAGCAUGCACAUCGAUGCGUAGGUGAUUCUUUGCCCAGA